This 209-nucleotide ribosomal RNA is filed under the name Escherichia coli. RNAcentral's name for it is "partial 23S ribosomal RNA". It matches the Rfam family "Bacterial large subunit ribosomal RNA", at positions 2720 to 2925 of the family's 2925-position model. Lineage: Bacteria; Pseudomonadati; Pseudomonadota; Gammaproteobacteria; Enterobacterales; Enterobacteriaceae. The record is from RNAcentral.
GUUGUUUUGCCAAAGGUAUAGCUGGGUAGCAAUUUGGGGAAGGGAUAAGCGCUGAAAGCAUCUAAGUGCGAAGCCCCCCUCAAGAUGAGAUUUCCCAUGAUUUUAUAUCAGUAAGAGCCCUGAGAGAUGAUCAGGUAGAUAGGUUAGGAGUGUAAGUGUAGCGAUACAUGUAGCGGACUAAUACUAAUAGCUCGAGGACUUAUCCAAAA